This 497-nucleotide ribosomal RNA is filed under the name uncultured bacterium. Its description in RNAcentral is "partial 16S ribosomal RNA". It matches the Rfam family "Bacterial small subunit ribosomal RNA", at positions 28 to 507 of the family's 1533-position model. The record is from RNAcentral.
GAUGAACGCUGGCGGCGUGCCUAAUACAUGCAAGUCGAGCGAACAGACGAGGAGCUUGCGCCUCUGACGUUAGCGGAGGACGGGUGAGUAACACGUGGAUAACCUACCUAUAAGACGGGGAUAACUUCGGGAAACCGGCGAUAAUACCGGAGAAUAUAUUGAACCGCAGGGGUCAAUGGUGAGAGACGGUGUUGCUGUAACUUAUAGAUGGAUCCGCGCCGUAUUGGCUAGUUGGUAAGGUAACGGGUUACCAAGGCAACGAGGCGUAUGCGACGUGAGGGGCGGAUAGGCGACCCUGGAACUGGGCCGCGGUCCAUGCUCCUGCGGUAGGGCGCAGUAGGGAACCUUCCGCAAUGGUCGGAAGCUUGGCGGAGCAACGCCGCGUGAGUGAUGGAGGUCUUCCGUUCGUAAAACUCUGUUAUUAGUGAUGAACAAAUUUGUAAUUAACUAUGCACGUCUUGACGGUACCUAGUCAGAAAGCCCCGGCUAACUACGUG